Molecule: unclassified non-coding RNA, 242 nt
Filed under: Hevea brasiliensis (rubber tree)
Lineage: Eukaryota; Viridiplantae; Streptophyta; Magnoliopsida; Malpighiales; Euphorbiaceae
Source: RNAcentral
AAAAAUGAGGCACAUACGGUGGCGGUGGGUAGUCCGUGUGCGGCUUGUAAAAUUCUCCGGCGAAGAUGCCGAGAGAAUUGCGAAUUGGGGCCGUAUUUUCCUCCAACGGAACCUCUCAAAUUCACUAUUGCUCAUAGGGUCUUCGGUGCUAGCAACAUCAUCAAAUUGCUUCAGGAUCUUCCUAAGUCGCAAAGAGCAGAUGCUGUGAACAGUAUGGUAUAUGAGGCAAGUGCAAGAAUAAG